GGAGUCGGCUAGGUGGCCGCCUUUUCGAUUUAUCGAAAGGGAGGAAAGUCCGAGCACCGCAGGACAGGGUGCCUCGUAACGCGAGGGGUCCGUGAGGGCAUGGAAAGUGCAGCAGAGAGCAGACUAUCCCGAAUCUUCGGGAUACAGGUGAAACGGUGGUGUAAAAGACCACCAGCCGCGGCAGCAAUGCCGCGGGCUAGGUAAACCCUACCCGGUGCAAGAUCAAGUAAGCUCCGAAAUGUGGUCCGCAUUGCUCGAGGAGCGGGUAGAUCGCGCGAACCUAUCGGUGACGGUAGGUCCAGAUGAAUGGCCAUCCACGACAGAACUCGGCUUAUCGGCCGACUCCACUU
This 350-nucleotide RNase P RNA is filed under the name Fidelibacterota bacterium. RNAcentral describes it as "RNase P RNA component class A". It matches the Rfam family "Bacterial RNase P class A". Rfam says of the family: Ribonuclease P (RNase P) is a ubiquitous endoribonuclease, found in archaea, bacteria and eukarya as well as chloroplasts and mitochondria. The record is from RNAcentral. Lineage: Bacteria; Pseudomonadati; Fidelibacterota.